This 346-nucleotide long non-coding RNA is filed under the name Rosa chinensis. Its description in RNAcentral is "sRNA RchiOBHm_Chr2g0171041". The record is from RNAcentral. Lineage: Eukaryota; Viridiplantae; Streptophyta; Magnoliopsida; Rosales; Rosaceae.
AUUGUUUUUCUUCUUCUUGGUUUUAGAUCGAUCGAGCCCAGAAGAAAAAUUUCCAAACCUAAAUCAUCUAAUUCAAUGUCAUUCCCACUUUAUAAUGAUUUGUAUAUAUCAAGACGGAGAUCAUGAAAUGGGCUUAUUCCCUUCCAAGUUCCUCUUCUUCUUUUAUUAAAGGACUUUCCAGGUAGAUUGAACCAAGGGGACACAUCUCCCUCGCCAGGUUUGGAGAUCUAUAAAUCCCCAAUCCAAAUGGGACGUAUUCCCAAUUUUUCGAUCGGCUACAAGAUAGUAAUUGAAAUCUUUAUCUAGCCAAUCUGGAAUUUGGUUAUCAGAUUUCUUAGUCGAAUAA